AAACUAACAAGGAUCCCCUUAGUAACGGCGAGUGAACCGGGAAGAGCUCAAAUUUGAAAUCUGGCGUGCUCAGUGCGUCCGAGUUGUAAUCUAUAGAGUCGUUUUCCGUGCCGGACUGUGUCCAAGUCCCUUGGAACAGGGUAUCAAAGAGGGUGAUAAUCCCGUACUUGACACAAUGACCGGUGCUCUGUGAUACGUCUUCUACGAGUCGAGUUGUUUGGGAAUGCAGCUCAAAAUGGGUGGUGAGUUCCAUCUAAAGCUAAAUAUUGGCGAGAGACCGAUAGCGAACAAGUACCGUGAGGGAAAGAUGAAAAGCACUUUGGAAAGAGAGUUAAACAGUACGUGAAAUUCUUAAAAGGGAAACGAUUGAAGUCAGUCGUGACUUAAAGGCUCAGCCGGUUCUGCCGGUGUAUUCCCCUCAGUCGGGUCAACAUCAGUUUGGUUCGUUGGAUAAGGGCAGUUGGAAGGUGCACCUCCGGUUUGUUAAAGCCAGCUUUCGCAUACUUCGGAAUGAGACUCAGGAAAUGCAACCCGCCUUUUAUUGGCCCGGGGUUUCGCCCCACCUUUUCGAAGCCUUAAGGUAAGGU
This 587-nucleotide ribosomal RNA is filed under the name Papiliotrema flavescens. Its description in RNAcentral is "eukaryotic LSU rRNA". It matches the Rfam family "Eukaryotic large subunit ribosomal RNA", at positions 62 to 624 of the family's 3401-position model. Lineage: Eukaryota; Fungi; Basidiomycota; Tremellomycetes; Tremellales; Rhynchogastremaceae. The record is from RNAcentral.